AUGUUGAGAUGGAUGUGUGGCCACACGAGGAAGGAUCGAGUCCGGAAUGAUGAUAUACGAGAUAGAGUUGGGGUAGCACCAAUUGAGGAGAAGCUUGUCCAACAUCUUUUGAGAUGGUUUGGGCAUAUUCAGCGCAGGCCUCCAGAAGCUCCAGUGCAUAGCGGACGGCUAAAGCGUGCGGAGAAUGUCAAGAGAGGGCGGGGUCGACCGAUUUUGACAUGGGAGGAGUCCGUUAAGAGAGACCUGAAGGAUUGGAGUAUCGACAAAGAGCUAGCUAUGGACAGGGGUGCGUGGAAGCUUGCUAUCCAUGUGCCAGAGCCAUGA
This 324-nucleotide ribosomal RNA is filed under the name Triticum aestivum (bread wheat). RNAcentral describes it as "partial small subunit ribosomal RNA". Lineage: Eukaryota; Viridiplantae; Streptophyta; Magnoliopsida; Poales; Poaceae. The record is from RNAcentral.